Molecule: ribosomal RNA, 494 nt
Filed under: uncultured bacterium
Lineage: Bacteria
Description: partial 16S ribosomal RNA
Rfam family: Bacterial small subunit ribosomal RNA
Source: RNAcentral
GACGAAUGCUGGCGGCGUGCUUAACACAUGCAAGUCGAACGGAAAGGCCUGCUUUCCCUUGUGGAUUGCGGGUACUCGAGUGGCGAACGGGUGAGUAACACGUGAGUGAUCUGCCCCCAACUUGGGUAUAAGCCUGGGAAACUGGGUCUAAUUCCCGAUAGGACUGCAGGGUGGUGCCUGUGGUGGAAAACGAUUUUCUAGUGGUUGGGGAUGAGCUCGCGGCCUAUCAGCUUGUUGGUGGGGUAAUGGCCUACCAAGGCGGCGACGGGUAGCCGGCCUGAGAGGGUGGACGGCCACAUUGGGACUGAGAUACGGCCCAGACUCCUACGGGAGGCAGCAGUGGGGAAUAUUGCACAAUGGGCGGAAGCCUGAUGCAGCGACGCCGCGUGGGGGAUGACGGCCUUCGGGUUGUAAACUCCUUUCGACCGCGAGGAAGCCACCUGGUUGGAAGGGUGGUGACGGUAGUGGUAGAAGAAGCACCGGCUAACUACGUG